This 253-nucleotide ribosomal RNA is filed under the name uncultured bacterium. RNAcentral describes it as "partial 16S ribosomal RNA". It matches the Rfam family "Bacterial small subunit ribosomal RNA", at positions 524 to 776 of the family's 1533-position model. The record is from RNAcentral.
GACGAGGUGCACAAACGUUAUUCGGAAUUACUGGGCUUAAAGCGUGCGUAGGCGGCUUAGCAAGUCGGGUGUGAAAGCCCUCGGCUCAACCGAGGAAUUGCGCCCGAAACUGCUGAGCUUGAGUGAGACAGAGGUGAGCGGAACUGAUGGUGGAGCGGUGAAAUGCGUUGAUAUCAUCAGGAACACCGGUGGCGAAGGCGGCUCACUGGGUCUCUACUGACGCUGAGGUACGAAAGCCAGGGUAGCGAACGGG